GAGUUUGAUUAUGGCUCAGGAUGAACGCUGGCGGCGUGCUUAACACAUGCAAGUCGAACGGGCGAAUUAUAUCGGAGGUCUUCGGGCCGAAGAGAUAAUAAGCUAGUGGCGGACGGGCGCGUAACGUGUGGGUAAUCUGCCUUUGUCAUAGGAAUAACUGCUUGAAAAAGUAGCUAAUACCAAAUAACAUAUCGUAUAGGCAUCUAUAAGAUAUCAAAGAGAAAUCGGACAAAGAUGAGCCCGCAUCUGAUUAGCUGGUUGGUAGGGUAAAAGCCUACCAAGGCGACGAUCAGUAGCCGGCCUGAGAGGGUGAACGGCCACAUUGGAACUGAGACACGGUCCAAACUCCUACGGGAGGCAGCAGUGGGGAAUAUUGCACAAUGGGGGGAACCCUGAUGCAGCAACGCCGCGUGAGUGAAGAAGGCUUUCGAGUCGUAAAACUCUGUUGUAAGGGAAGAUAAUGACG
RNAcentral lists this ribosomal RNA (466 nucleotides) under Filifactor villosus. RNAcentral's name for it is "bacterial SSU rRNA". It matches the Rfam family "Bacterial small subunit ribosomal RNA", at positions 9 to 456 of the family's 1533-position model. The record is from RNAcentral. Lineage: Bacteria; Bacillati; Bacillota; Clostridia; Peptostreptococcales; Filifactoraceae.